UUGGUAAUUUGUUGUUGACUGCGUAUAACACUGCAUGGCCUUUGCCAGUCUGACCACAGUACUGGGAGGAGUCAAGUAACUGUAAAACCAAGCAUUUUGUUUACUGUGUGCACAUCAGUCAGAACCGCCUGCUGUGCCAGAACUAGGCUUUUUAAUAGCAAGCUAGAAUUUACAGUAAUUUUAGACUUUUAAUUAAAAUUGGAUCACUUGAGAUAAAUUUGUUGUAGUAUAAUCUAUGUUAGAACCAUUUUUCCUGUCAAAAGUAAAUUUUGUGGUUAUAUCAUAUAGUACUUCUUUAAAAAUGUACCUCGCAGUGUCAUUAUGUGAGUAUAUAUAUUUAAUUCCAUUUGUCUUAUAUAUGUAUAUGAUUAUGCAUACAUUAUACAUAUAGUUAGAAAGUAUUCUAGAGCUGAAUAGAAGGAAACAUUGGGAAGCUGUGUAACAAUUAUUCAGGUAAUUAUGUUUAUGUGGGUAUCAUGGAUACAUAAUGUAAAAUUUGUUUAGAAGUCAGUGGAGCUCAAUCCUUGUUCACCUUCACUUCUCCUUUCUGAUAGAAAGCUUUUGGUUUUGAAUUGUAUGUUUUAAACUAUGCUAACCUAACAUGCUCAAAAAACAAAACAAAACAAAACAAAAAACUUGUAGAAAUAAUUUUCCCCCAGAAGACUCAUUUAUGCCGUGAUCUCCAACACUGUCGUCCUGUAUCAUUGUGUACUUGAUCCGUACUUAUAGUGAGAUUUCAAAAAUCAUAUUCAUUUAUACAUUUUUAUGUCUGUUAUUGCUUCUUCUUUCAUAAUGCUUGUUAUACACUUGUGUGUGUGUGUGACUUUUUACAUUAGGGAUCAUUUAGCUUUGUUAGAAAAUAGGCUCAAAAUUACGGGAAAAUAAAUUAUAUUAUCUUUUAAAGAAGAUUUACCCUUUUAUUUCCUAAGGCCAAAAUUGGCUUCAUUUUUGACAUGUUAUAUUUUCUCAAGUUUUAGAAAUAAUAGUUGAGACCUAAAACUAUUCUGGAUACUCCUGGAUAAUCACUGUGCUGGGCUCUGAGCUAUGCACUGUAUCAACAAAAAGGUACUCAUUUAUCUGAUUGAUUUAAAAGAUUUGAAAGUUCCUUUCUUUUACAGCUUCUCCAUGGUGCCAACUAUAAUAAACUGUUAGGAAUAAAGAAGCCUGUUGUUGGGGAAAGGGUAAACAGUAUAGGCUUCCUCACUGUAUGCUGUUGCUGGUGGAGGGGGAAGACUCUGGGGGAAAGAGGGACUGACAACCUAGCUCUGAUUAGGGUAAGGUGGCUAAUAGGUCUCACUGAGUGUUGGGUAGGCUGAUACUCAGAGGUCUACAUUUCUUCUCUAACCUUCAAAACUGCCAAUAUGAAAAAUAGUUUACCCACUUGAGCAAGAAAACUAGUUCAGAGACAACUUAUUUGUUGUGCUACCAUGGGAUAGCAAGGACUAACAUUUGUUAUGUAAUUGUGUCCUUUACAUAUGACAAAACAUGAUAUUCAUAUUUUGGAUUUUUUCACAUCGUUCCAAGCACUGUGUGAAAAGCUUUAUUUAAGAAUUACAUAGUUAAUAUUUAUACACACACAAAUACAACACACCCUCACCCUUUUUCUGAGUGGAAUUUCAUAGUGAAUGAUACGGUAGAUUAAUAUAUGUGAAUAUUUCUGCUAUGUUUGAGUUAUCAUUCUAGAAUGUUACUUUUAGUUGUUAUUAUAUAUCCAAAGAAUGGUAUACAUUAAUGUUUACUCAUCUAAUAUUGUUGGAAUUUGUUCUGGUUUUUUUGGAACAGUAUGGAGAUUGACCUUUAAUUUUUUUUUAAAUCUGUAUCUGUUGUUUUAUCCUUGAGAUUGUCUAGGAAGGUCACUUUUUUUUUAUUAAAUUAUAU
Molecule: long non-coding RNA, 1878 nt
Filed under: Mus musculus (house mouse)
Lineage: Eukaryota; Metazoa; Chordata; Mammalia; Rodentia; Muridae
Description: long non-coding RNA chr2:117124965-117126843
Source: RNAcentral